Molecule: long non-coding RNA, 714 nt
Organism: Coregonus clupeaformis (lake whitefish)
Lineage: Eukaryota; Metazoa; Chordata; Actinopteri; Salmoniformes; Salmonidae
Exons: 5
Source: RefSeq, a predicted model, not a curated record
GCAGAAGGAAGAGGUGCAUAUUUCUUCGCCCAGCAUCGGUCACUGAGCUAGCAAGUUAAAGUUAGCUAGUGAGUCACAGAAAUGUACGUUCAGACUGUUAAUUAUUUCAGUCCCAUUGGAUUUAUCUUACAAAAUCCGGCAGAGAGAGACAGGAUCAAACAGCAGGUCUGGGACAAGAUCUGCUAACCAGGCUUGGUGGGUGACAGGUAACCUUGUUUCCACCAAGCUGUUCCAGGCCUGGAGUGGCACGCUGGAACUUCCAGAAGCUUGUAGACCUGAAACAGUGUGACGUGGUCCAGAUCUGACACCCCUAUUAGCUCAACCACAGUCUUCACAGCUGCAGUCGUCUGCCCCUGCGCCUGCUACACCAGUUGCGACAGGUGAUACAGAUCUGCCACCCUCAGCAGUUCAGCUGCAGUCACAGCAGUCCUCUGCUGUGGUAUUUAAUUUACCGGCUGCACCAAUUCCUACUACACUGGCCAUGAAGGGAGAAACUUUUGAGGAUUCCCAGAUGGAUACAGAUAUGCCAUGCACUCCACCACUGCCUGACAGCCUCACCCAGAAGUGCAUAUACUGGGCCAAUCAAGACUGACAAGCAGAGAUAGGUGGCUGACAAGGAAAAAUAAAACACAACGUGCACACACACACACCCUCGCUCUGUCUCUGUCACACACACAUUAUCCCCAAUGUAAAUAAAUGGUAAUUACUUGUUUA